UUUUACCUUUUGUGCGCGUCCAAUUAAUUGUACUCACUCGUGUUUUGUUCUUAACAGCUGAACCCUUGCGUAUGUGUGUCCGCUUAACGGCUUAACUGCUAAAGGUAAAUUGCUUUCGACGAGUUGAUUAGCUGAACAACAAACAAGAGGUUACGACAAGCUUUGGUCGAGAGUUAAUAAAUAUUUUAGCGACGCCAGCAUGCGGACGUCGUUUACGUUGCUUGUGUGUUGCCACACGCUGGAAAUUUACGUUCCGGCGACUACGCGGUAAAGUUCGCCAAAGCGGUUAGCCUUGGCCGCUGCAACGUAGCCGCACGCGCGGACGGACAGUCGUACGGUGUCUUCGCAGGUGUCGUUUUUCACGUUUGCCUCAACAUAGAGAAUCGCCCUGCGGUGUGUUUUGGCAGUCACUGCGCAACGGUUUACUACCAACCAACUUGCAUCGGACUUCCAUGGAGAUUGCCGAGCGGGCAGCAUUGAUUGCAUCCUGUCUGCUGCUGGUUUCGGUAGCCCUAGUGGGUGUUCUCUGGUGCGCAUGCCGACGUUCGCAACUGGGCAGCACUGUCCCUAUGGCAGCCAUCACUGAGACCGUGACGCAGGCCGUUGUAAGAGUGGUCCUCUGAAAUAAGGUGGACUGGUGGUAGAAGUACAACGAGGCCAUGGUGGUAUCUGUAAUCACUGGCGUCAUCAUUGCCGUUGUGAUAGUAAUUGUGCUAGUACUCCUUGGGAUCCUCUACCGGUACUGUCGCUCUCCAGAGAAGCACACAGCCCCCGUGAAGUACAAGAAGCAUAAGAAGAGCCACGGUUACAAACGUAGCGGCUUUGGCUACGGCUCCUACUACCCUCCUGGUGGCUGGUCUUCUGACAUUGGUCACUCCAGCAGCGAUGAGGAAGCUGGUCGGGGCGCUGACAGCGGCCACGAAAGUUUUGGCCACGAUAGCGCUGGACAUGAUAGCGGCGGCCAUGGCAGUGGGGGCCUUGAUAGCAGUUGUCAUGACAGUGGUGUAGGAGGUCACAGCGGUGGAGGAGGAUGCGGUGGAACUGCGGUGGAGGAGAGUGUGACAGCGGUGGAAGAUGUGACUGAGUGACACAAGGUUCGAAAAAUUUCUUGAUUGGUCUUUCUCUUGUGCUGCUUGUCAAGUCAUUCGCUACACUGAAAGAAAGAUGUGACCCUCUACAUAUAUACACAGUAACAGUGUGCUAGUUGACUAUUUGUUGACAUAGCUUGUUAAAUGUUGAAGAAUCUUGUGCUUUCCGACAGCACUAAUCGGGUGAGUAACUGUGCGUUGGGCUCAGCAGUUUAGUUUAUGCAUUUGUGUAGCUGUUCACUGGAUACAGCCCAAAUUUUGACAUUGUCAAGUUCUCCCUCUGCAGGGUGAUACAACUAAACAAAGUUGCCUUGUAGAGAGUGCCCGCUUCUUCAUCUUAUUACAAACAGUACCUGUUACAAGUUGAUGCAUUUUUUUAUGGGUCAUAAAAGAUUGGUUGCCACUGUGGAAUGGCGCAGGUUUACAUGCUUACCACAAAGAAAGGUGACUAUAAUUGUUGCCAGACUACACAAAAGAAGCUGUAGAAUGCUGCAAAUAACGUACCUCCAUAUGUAAAUAUUGCCUACUGCCACACAAAAUUGCAAUGCAUUCCAGAGCACUUACCGUCUUUUGAAGUUUGUACUUUGCAAGUGUGCCUAAUAAUCAUAUACUCAGUACUGCCCCUGAUAACACAACGAUUAGUGCAAAGUUGUCUGAGACAGAGAUGCUUGAUGCAUUUGUUUUCUAGCUAUAGGACAUUUUACUGCAGUAGUUAUUAGGGGUACAUUAUUCUGCCCUUGUGACGUCUAAUGCUUGUGGCCUGUAUUGUGUGAUCCCAUACAUUGAACAGUAUGUAGAUCAUGAAAAAAAGGAGGUGUUAUUGGAAUGCUGCUUGUUGGUCACGGGCUGAAUGCUGAUAAUUGCAUUGCCAUCAGAAUGUCCAUACAUAGUACGAAAAACUCAUGUGUCAAACCACAUCAUUUAACAAGCACUAUCAUCAGACUGGUUGGUAUGUAACCUUAACUUUGGAUAGUGCUAAUAGAGAGACAGUCAGCAGAAAAAAAGAAACAGCAUGGAUGUGAGCACCAUAUUUCUGCUUCUGUGUCCCUAUUUGUGAUGCCCAAAGUUAUGCACAUAUUGUUUAGCUGCUCAGUGCUGUCAUAAACCGCUCCAUUUUCAGUACACUAACAUAUUUAGAUAGACUUGGGAUUAGGACAAGGACCAUAAGUUUAUUGCCGUGAGUAUGUUUUACAUCUAAGCAAUGCUUGGCAGAGUUUUUACAUUCCAAAGUUAUACUUUCUGUAUUAAGUGCGCCUAAAGUUGCAUGCAGACGUCAUGAAGACCCAUUGCUAUGAAAUGUGCAGUGCAGAGAAGGCAUUUUGCAAAUCUUUUUAGAAAUAACUCUUGCAUUUUAGGAGGAAAAAAAAAACAUGCAUUUUUAUUGCUUCUGAAGUGAUUCCAUGUGCUUCUGGCUUCUCCUAAUCACCAAGUUCUCUCCAUAUAGGAGGCAAGUGAGCACAGGUCAAAGUGAGCAGUCACACGUUUUUGUCAACAAAGUUUCACAAUGUACAUUGAGACACCUUAUUACGGCUGCCGCGGCCGGGAUUCGAUCCCGUGCCCUGGGACAUAGUAGCUUGAUAGUGUUCAUGACUGACAAGCAGUUGGCCAUUGCUAUGAGCUCAAAAAAACAAAUAAGAUUCAGAAAAAAGUUGAUUACAUGGCUUCCUAUACAUUAUAGUGCAGCCAAGCUGUUUCGAAAUACUUGAGACACCUGAAGCAGUAAAGUAUCUUGCAAUAUUACCUACAGGGACGUCUGGACAUAACGUGGGAAAGCUCCGUGGGAAAACUGUAAUAUCGAACAUUUAGCUUCUCUUGAAUAUGGCAUGGUCUGAAAUAUAAUCAUGGCUGUGCAAUAAACCUUUCUUGUAAUUGAGUCUUUGUAAGAAGCCUUUGUUCUACUGUAUGUAAUACAUGUUGCAUUGAUGUUUGCUCACUGGUAAUGCAAAAAGUUGUGAAUGAAGAGAAGCUUUUGGUAUAACUGGUGCAUAAUGAGCGCGACUUUGUUCUUUCUUCGAAUUCGACACCCUGAACGUGGUAUUCACCACAUUUGUUAUAGCUGUGGACCAGAGCGAAACUAUUUGAUCUAGUAAUAAUUUCUUGUAAUGAUGCAGCCAAGGGAGAAUUUUACAGGAUUUUAUUUUUUCCGUAAGUACUGAACUAUCAUGACAGACAACUGCUGAUUCCCAGGCAUGUUCCCAAAGAUGUCCUAGCUCUCCGAGAAAGAUCUGAUGUCCCCACUACUAGGCACACAGGUAAUUUCAGGAAGCACUCACUCACUCAGUGCACUGUGGUGUGCGCAGGACCAGUUGGCAUUUUCAUUUUUUUCUCUAUUUACAGAGAAGUGUUUAUUCAAGAACUAAUGACAGACAAAUUUGUUUUACUUAGCUAUACUCUACAGUGUAUACUCAUUUAACAUGCUUGUCUAGCACCAGGUCUUAAAAUACAGUGCAGUCAAGGGACAAUGUUAGUGCCUUCUGAUAGCAUGAAAUUUAAACACAGUGUCAAUUUUUCAUUGUUAUUGUCAUUCAUGCUCAAGAAAUAAAGGUUCCUGCAGGUACUUUCAAUAUGUGGUAGAUAGGGCAGCUAUGUGCCGAAAAUAUAUACAUUGCUAUCUUUGUGAUUGUGGUCGAGAUGUUAAAAAAUUAUACCUGUUCACUUGUUACCAUGGAACAAAUUAAUUUGCCCCUGUAUAGUAUUGCUAUUUGUGACUGUGUUGCACCCGCCGUGGUUGCUCAGUGGCUAUGGUGUUGGGCUGCUGAGCACGAGGUCGCGGGAUCGAAUCCCCGGCCACGGCGGCCGCAUUUCGAUGCGGGCGAAAUGCGAAAACACCCGUGUACUUAGAUUUAGGUGCACGUUAAAGAACCCCAGGUGGUCUAAAUUUCCGGACUCCCCCACUACGGCGUGCCUCAUAUCAGAUCAUGAUUUUGGCACGUAAAACCUCAUUUUGAAUUGUUGACUGUGUUGCGAAAAAUGCAUUUGUGUUUGAAGAAUGUUGUGUUUAUCUUACUACUUCAUAGCUGCUUUGCUGAAAUGUGUCAGUUGUCUUGUAGAACGAAGUGAGCUGAAAUAGUAUGGUGAUGUGUUACUGCAGUGUUCAGCUAAGCUGGUCGAUUUGUUUAUCAUGCUGUUGGAAAGGCAUUGUGGUUUUGCUGCUUGUUGUGUUUUAAUUUCUUUUAAUGUUUGGCAAGGGGGGGGGGGGGGAGGAACAGCCUCUUAACAGCGUGUUUUGGCUUGUAUACUUAUUUUUGUUUGUACAUUCUACUUUUGUUUUCCCUUCUUAUUAUGCAUAUGUUAUCAUAGACAAGGCUGUUUGUUUUCUGGCAGUGUAAUCACAUGCUUAUAUGUACUUGUCUACUCGUGUUUCAGCUUGCUAAGCCCAGUGUUUGUGCGGUUAUAGACUGUGAUGAACUGUGUGAUGUUGUGCAUCUUUCCCAGGCAGCUUAAGCUGUUUAGUGUAGACUUUAACUUCAAGCUUAUAUGGUUUCUGAUAUUCUGACAGACCCAAGACUAUUUGUAUGUUCAAGUUUAUGCCUUGUUCAUGUUAAGAUCUAACAUAAUUUAAGUGAGGAACUAAGUAUUCUCUAUUUUUAGGCUUUACAUUUGUACCUUUUCUUGUGAGGACUUGCAUGCUGCCUACUGAAUCUUUUGGAAAUAGUUGCAUAUUUUUUUAAAGAGUAAUGGUAUAUAUUGUUUUCUUUCUUUUUCAUAUUUCCGUGCAUUUCAACACAAACGCUCUUUGGAGCCAGUAAAGUUUUGGCAUAGUGUUUCGCACCUCAGGAAAUAGGCACUUUCUUUAUCAUUCACUCAUUCAUGGUGUCAAAUAUUAUCAGUGUUACUCAUAUACUAUUUCUGAUGCUCUGUUGCAGUUUUGGUUUGCAAAAUUUCGGUGACAGUUUUAUGUUAUACGUGAGAAGGCAUACUCACAAGUUACAUGCUUUUCACUAUUGACAUUGCAAUCGUGUCACUGGUUUCAUUCAGCUGGCGUAAACGAGUGCUGUUGCCAUUGUGCGUCUCUCUUUGCAUCUUGUUCUGUGUUUUGUACGGUGUAUUACCUAUUUUUAGAAAUAUAUUUGCGCUGGCCGCUG
Molecule: long non-coding RNA, 5173 nt
Organism: Dermacentor silvarum
Lineage: Eukaryota; Metazoa; Arthropoda; Arachnida; Ixodida; Ixodidae
Exons: 3
Source: RefSeq, a predicted model, not a curated record